This 256-nucleotide ribosomal RNA is filed under the name uncultured bacterium. Its description in RNAcentral is "partial 16S ribosomal RNA". It matches the Rfam family "Bacterial small subunit ribosomal RNA", at positions 521 to 776 of the family's 1533-position model. The record is from RNAcentral.
UAAUACGUAGGGUCCGAGCGUUGUCCGGAGUUACUGGGCGUAAAGCGCGCGCAGGCGGCUGAUCAAGUCUGGCGUGAAAGCCCCCGGCUCAACCGGGGAGGGUCGUCGGAGACUGGUUGGCUUGAGGGCGGUAGGGGCUGGUGGAAUUCCCGGUGUAGUGGUGAAAUGCGUAGAGAUCGGGAGGAACACCUGUGGCGAAGGCGGCCAGCUGGGCCGUCCCUGACGCUGAGGCGCGAAGGCGUGGGGAGCGAACGGG